UACAGAGGGUGCGAGCGUUGUUCGGAAUUAUUGGGCGUAAAGGGCGCGUAGGCGGUGCGGUAAGUCACCUGUGAAAUCUCCUGGCUCAACUGGGAGCUUGCAGUCGAAACUGCCGUGCUGGAGUGUGGGAGAGGUGCGUGGAAUUCCUGGUGUAGCGGUGAAAUGCGUAGAUAUCAGGAGGAACACCUGUGGCGAAAGCGGCGCACUGGACCACAACUGACGCUGAGGCGCGAAAGCUAGGGGAGCAAACAGG
RNAcentral lists this ribosomal RNA (253 nucleotides) under uncultured bacterium. RNAcentral's name for it is "partial 16S ribosomal RNA". It matches the Rfam family "Bacterial small subunit ribosomal RNA", at positions 524 to 776 of the family's 1533-position model. The record is from RNAcentral.